This 72-nucleotide transfer RNA is filed under the name Ovis aries (sheep). It matches the Rfam family "tRNA". Rfam says of the family: Transfer RNA (tRNA) molecules are approximately 80 nucleotides in length. Their secondary structure includes four short double-helical elements and three loops (D, anti-codon, and T loops). The record is from Rfam by way of RNAcentral. Lineage: Eukaryota; Metazoa; Chordata; Mammalia; Artiodactyla; Bovidae.
UCUCUGGUGGCUGAGUGGUAAAGAAUCUGCCUGCCAAUGCAGGAGAUGCGGGUUCAAUCCCUGCUUCAGGAA